AUCCCUUCCUCCACUGCAGUUCCGGCUUAGAACAGGACACAGUGCAGUGAUUCAAAUGGACUUCUUCUUCAUUGGAUUCGUCUUGCUUUGGUGGUUUCUGUGGACUCAGCUGUUCCCGCGUGGCGAUUACAAUGGACUUUCGUUGUUACACUUGCUCCCCCUCUUUCCUCUGUGGACUAUAACUGGAGCCCCAAGUCGACCAGAACUUGGAGACUCCCCCGACACGACAGACGGAUCCCCAUCGUCCGGACCACUGAGGAUCUCGCCUGUGUUGGUAGCUAUUCCCAUACCCCUCUUCUCUCUCUCUCUCUCCUUUUAUCUCCUUUCCGAUCCCCACUAUCGCAUUUACUGUUUUGGCCCCUAAUAAAGGUGCAUUUGUUGUGAUUAA
Molecule: long non-coding RNA, 388 nt
Organism: Vidua chalybeata
Lineage: Eukaryota; Metazoa; Chordata; Aves; Passeriformes; Viduidae
Exons: 2
Source: RefSeq, a predicted model, not a curated record